GGUAGUAACAGAGUUUGAUCAUGGCUCAGAUUGAACGCUGGCGGGAUGCUUGCUUACACAUGCAAGUCGAACGGCAGCACGGACUUCGGUCUGGUGGCGAGAGUGGCGAACAGGUGAGUAAUGUAUCGGAACGUGCCUAGUAGCGGGGGAUAACUACGCGGCGUAGCUAAUACCGCAUACGCCCUUCGGGGGAAAGCGGGGGACUUUCGGGCCUCGCACUAUUAGAGCAGCCGAUAUCGGAUUAGCUAGUUGGUGGGGUAACGGCUCCUGCAGGCGACGAUCCGUAGCUGGUUUGAGAGGACGACCAGCCACACUGGGACAGAGACACAGCCCCAGACUCCUACAGGAGGCAGCAGUGGGGGAAUUUUGGACAAUGGGGAAACCUGAUCCAGCCAUCCCGCGUGUGCGAUGAAGGCCUUCGGGUUGUAAAGCACUUUUGGCAGGAAAGAAACGGCACGGGAUAAUACCCCGUGCAACUGACAGUACCUGCAGAAUAAGCACCGGCUAACUACGUGCCAACAGCCGCGGUAAUACGUAGAGUGCAAGCGUUAAUCGGAAUUACUGGGCGUAAAGCGUGCGCAGGCGGUUCCGGAGAAAGAUGUGAAAUCCCAGAGCUUAACUUUGGAACUGCAUUUUUAACUACCGAGCUAGAGUGUGUCAGAGGGAGGUGGAAUUCCGCGUGUAGCAGUGAAAUGCGUAGAUAUGCGGAGGAACACCGAUGGCGAAGGCAGCCUCCUGGGAUAACACUGACGCUCAUGCACGAAGGCGUGGGAGCAAACAGGAUUAGAUACCCUGGUAGUCCACGCCCUAAACGAUGUCAACUAGCUGUUGGGGCCUUCGGGCCUUGGUAGCGCAGCUAACGCGUGAAGUUGACCGCCUGGGGAGUACGGUCGCAAGAUUAAAACUCAAAGGAAUUGACGGGGACCCGCACAAGCGGUGGAUGAUGUGGAUUAAUUCGAUGCAACGCGAAAAACCUUACCUACCCUUGACAUGUCUGGAAUCCCGAAGAGAUUUGGGAGUGCUCGCAAGAGAACCGGAACACAGGUGCUGCAUGGCUGUCGUCAGCUCGUGUCGUGAGAUGUUGGGUUAAGUCCCGCAACGAGCGCAACCCUUGUCAUUAGUUGCUACGAAAGGGCACUCUAAUGAGACUGCCGGUGACAAACCGGAGGAAGGUGGGGAUGACGUCAAGUCCUCAUGGCCCUUAUGGGUAGACUUCACACGUCAUACAAUGGUCGGGACAGAGGGUCGCCAACCCGCGAGGAGCCAAUCCCGAAACCCGAUCGUAGUCCGGAUCGCAGUCUGCAACUCGACUGCGUGAGUCCGGAAUCGCUAGUAAUCGCGGAUCAGCAUGUCGCGGUGAAUACGUUCCCGGGUCUUGUACACACCGCCCGUCACACCAUGGGAGUGGGUUUUACCAGAAACGAUUAGCCUAACCGUAAGGAGGGCGAUUACCACGGUAGGAUUCAUGACGGGGGUGAAGUCGUAGCUAAGGUAG
RNAcentral lists this ribosomal RNA (1495 nucleotides) under uncultured Bordetella sp. Its description in RNAcentral is "partial 16S-23S ribosomal RNA intergenic spacer". It matches the Rfam family "Bacterial small subunit ribosomal RNA". The record is from RNAcentral. Lineage: Bacteria; Pseudomonadati; Pseudomonadota; Betaproteobacteria; Burkholderiales; Alcaligenaceae.